AAACCAUGGUGUGGAUAGCUCCUUAGUAAAUCCUUGAAACAUUACUAAAAAUCGUAUAGAGUCUCAUUCUCUUACUGGAAAAAUCCUGCUAUAUCAUUUCUCAACUU
Molecule: non-coding RNA, 107 nt
Organism: Ricinus communis (castor bean)
Lineage: Eukaryota; Viridiplantae; Streptophyta; Magnoliopsida; Malpighiales; Euphorbiaceae
Source: Rfam